GGCUGGUCCGAGUACAGUGAUAUUUACAACAAAUUGAUCAGAAGUUAACAGAUUUAUUUGUUCCUCUUCCACUUCUACUAUUUCAUUUGACUAGCCUUUA
RNAcentral lists this Y RNA (100 nucleotides) under Cercocebus atys (sooty mangabey). Its description in RNAcentral is "Y RNA (ENSCATG00000007373.1)". It matches the Rfam family "Y RNA". From Rfam's summary of the family: Y RNAs are components of the Ro ribonucleoprotein particle (Ro RNP), in association with Ro60 and La proteins. The Y RNAs and Ro60 and La proteins are well conserved, but the function of the Ro RNP is not known. In humans the RNA component can be one of four small RNAs -- hY1, hY3, hY4 and hY5. The record is from Rfam by way of RNAcentral. Lineage: Eukaryota; Metazoa; Chordata; Mammalia; Primates; Cercopithecidae.